CAGUCGCCGCGGGAAUACGAAGGGUGCAAGCGUUAAUCGGAAUUACUGGGCGUAAAGCGUGCGUAGGCGGUUUGUUAAGUCUGUUGUGAAAUCCCCGGGCUCAACCUGGGAAUGGCAAUGGAUACUGGCAAGCUAGAGUGUGUCAGAGGAUGGUGGAAUUCCCGGUGUAGCGGUGAAAUGCGUAGAGAUCGGGAGGAACAUCAGUGGCGAAGGCGGCCAUCUGGGACAACACUGACGCUGAGGCACGAAAGCGUGGGGAGCAAACAGGAUUAGAUACCCCAGUAGUCCCUGUCUCUUAUAA
This 301-nucleotide ribosomal RNA is filed under the name uncultured bacterium. Its description in RNAcentral is "partial 16S ribosomal RNA". It matches the Rfam family "Bacterial small subunit ribosomal RNA", at positions 509 to 809 of the family's 1533-position model. The record is from RNAcentral.